GGGGGCGUAGCUCAGUUGGGAGAGCAUCAGGCUGGCAGUCUGAGGGUCAGGGGUUCGAAUCCCCUCGCCUCCACCA
This 76-nucleotide transfer RNA is filed under the name Candidatus Sumerlaeaceae bacterium. Its description in RNAcentral is "tRNA-Ala". It matches the Rfam family "tRNA". Rfam says of the family: Transfer RNA (tRNA) molecules are approximately 80 nucleotides in length. Their secondary structure includes four short double-helical elements and three loops (D, anti-codon, and T loops). Further hydrogen bonds mediate the characteristic L-shaped molecular structure. tRNAs have two regions of fundamental functional importance: the anti-codon, which is responsible for specific mRNA codon recognition, and the 3' end, to which the tRNAs corresponding amino acid is attached (by aminoacyl-tRNA synthetases). tRNAs cope with the degeneracy of the genetic code in two manners: having more than one tRNA (with a specific anti-codon) for a particular amino acid; and 'wobble' base-pairing, i.e. permitting non-standard base-pairing at the 3rd anti-codon position. Lineage: Bacteria; Candidatus Sumerlaeota; Candidatus Sumerlaeia; Candidatus Sumerlaeales; Candidatus Sumerlaeaceae. The record is from RNAcentral.